RNAcentral lists this ribosomal RNA (253 nucleotides) under uncultured bacterium. Its description in RNAcentral is "partial 16S ribosomal RNA". It matches the Rfam family "Bacterial small subunit ribosomal RNA", at positions 524 to 776 of the family's 1533-position model. The record is from RNAcentral.
GACGAACCGUGCGAACGUUGUUCGGAAUCACUGGGCUUAAAGGGCGCGUAGGCGGCUCAUCAAGUCCGGGGUGAAAGCCCCCAGCUUAACUGGGGAAGUGCCUCGGAUACUGGUGAGCUCGAGGGAGGUAGGGGCGGAUGGAACUUCCGGUGGAGCGGUGAAAUGCGUUGAUAUCGGAAGGAACGCCGGUGGCGAAAGCGAUCCGCUGGCCCUCUACUGACGCUGAGGCGCGAAAGCCAGGGGAGCAAACGGG